GACGAACGCUGGCGGCGUGCUUAACACAUGCAAGUCGAACGGAAAGGCCCUGCUUUUGUGGGGUGCUCGAGUGGCGAACGGGUGAGUAACACGUGAGUAACCUGCCCUUGACUUUGGGAUAACUUCAGGAAACUUGGUCUAAUACCGGAUAGGAGCUCCUGCUGCUUGGUGGGGGUUGGAAAGUUUCGGCGGUUGGGGAUGGACUCGCGGCUUAUCAGCUUGUUGGUGGGGUAGUGGCAUACCAAGGCUUUGACAGGUAGCCGGCCUGAGAGGGUGGCCGGACAAGUUGGAACGGAGAUGAGACACGGACCACAACGGGAGGCGGGGCAGCGGUAGGUAGCAUGAUGGACGGGGGGAUGGCGCGACACAGCAGCGCGGGGGAAGACGGGAAGCGGGUAGGAAACCAAAGCCCCCGGACCCGGGGCGUGAAUGACGGUACCGGGAGAAGAAGCACCGGCUAACUCCGUG
This 468-nucleotide ribosomal RNA is filed under the name uncultured bacterium. RNAcentral's name for it is "partial 16S ribosomal RNA". It matches the Rfam family "Bacterial small subunit ribosomal RNA", at positions 28 to 507 of the family's 1533-position model. The record is from RNAcentral.